CGAGUGGCGGACGGGUGAGGAAUACAUCGGAAUCUACUUUUUCGUGGGGGAUAACGUAGGGAAACUUACGCUAAUACCGCAUACGACCUACGGGUGAAAGCAGGGGAUCUUCGGACCUUGCGCGAUUGAAUGAGCCGAUGUCGGAUUAGCUAGUUGGCGGGGUAAAGGCCCACCAAGGCGACGAUCCGUAGCUGGUCUGAGAGGAUGAUCAGCCACACUGGAACUGAGACACGGUCCAGACUCCUACGGGAGGCAGCAGCC
This 261-nucleotide ribosomal RNA is filed under the name uncultured Stenotrophomonas sp. Its description in RNAcentral is "partial 16S ribosomal RNA". It matches the Rfam family "Bacterial small subunit ribosomal RNA", at positions 92 to 355 of the family's 1533-position model. Lineage: Bacteria; Pseudomonadati; Pseudomonadota; Gammaproteobacteria; Lysobacterales; Lysobacteraceae. The record is from RNAcentral.